GAGUACGACCGCAAGGUAAACUCAAAUGAAUUGACGGGGACCCGCACAAGUAGUGGAGCAUGUGGUUUAAUUCGAAGAUACGCGCAGAACCUUACCAACACUUGAUAUGUUCGUCGCGACUCUAAGAGAUUAGAGUUUUCGGUUCGGCCGGACGAAACACAGGUGCUGCAUGGCUGUCGUCAGCUCGUGUCGUGAGAUGUUGGGUUAAGUCCCGCAACGAGCGCAACCCUCACUUUUAGUUGCCAUCAUUUAGUUGGGCACUCUGAAAGAACUGCCAGUGAUAAGCUGGAGGAAGGUGGGGAUGACGUCAAGUCCUCAUGGCCCUUAUGUGUUGGGCUACACACGUGCUACAAUGGCAUUUACAAUAGGAAGCGAGAUGGCGACAUCAAGCAAAUCCUAAAAAGAUGCCUCAGUUCGGAUUGUACUCUGCAACUCGAGUACAUGAAGCUGGAAUUACUAGUAAUCGCGGAUCAGCGUGCCGCGGUGAAUACGUUCCCGGGUCUUGUACACACCGCCCGUCACACCAUGGGAGUUGGUUCUACCUUAAGGCAAGGUUUAAAAACCUUGACCACGGUAUAGUCAGCGACUAGGGUGAAGUCAA
RNAcentral lists this ribosomal RNA (601 nucleotides) under uncultured marine bacterium. RNAcentral's name for it is "bacterial SSU rRNA". It matches the Rfam family "Bacterial small subunit ribosomal RNA", at positions 878 to 1489 of the family's 1533-position model. The record is from RNAcentral.